GAAAGAAAAACUCCCCAUCGUGUUUCUUCUCAUGAUGACAGUGACACAAAGGAAGCUGUGAGAAGCGGCACCCGAGGUGUGAUGAAAUCAUCUGCAGCUGUUGUGGGUUCAGCAGCGCGCGACUGUGUGGGAGUCGAUGGAAAGAGGGGGCUGCGAUGCAGGGUGUUUGGAAACAGGCCGAGAGCUCUGCUUCCAACCAGAGCUGUGUCAGCCUCAUUUGCCUUGUUUCAGGUAUUGAAUAAGGCGUUCCAAAAAACCUUGAUGCUGUUUCUGAACAGCUUAAGGUCCUCAGAAUGCCCUGAGACCUUCCCUAGGUCUGCGCUGUUGGCACAAUAAAUUUUCUUUUGGCCUAGCACAAAUUAAACGUAACUCUGUGUGAGUCAGAAAGCCACUUGUCACUUCAGCACAAAGUCCACCUGGCGAGGUUGUUGGCAGAGACCUCAGUGCUCUGCUGCUCGGCAUUAAAACCCUGUCGGGGAGAGGUGCUGCUUGAGCAGCCAGAGGAAAUACUUCAUGCAGAAUAAAGGGGAUGUUUGGGUUUUUUUUGCUCUCAGUUACACUGUCAUCCAGGCUCCCAGUCCAGUGCUGCAGACCAGAUUUAUUACUCAGAAGGCUUUCUGGAGCAAAGAUUUCUGUGGGAGUAUCAGCAUUUGGCUGAUGGAGAACUGCAGGCAGAGCUGAGAAAGUCCAGAUGUCCAUGGCAACGUCAGCCGAGGGCUUGUGAGACCUCUGCACUGGAGAGUGUGGCCCAAGCAAAUCCCACCUGGAACAGAGGUGCCGAGGCAGGGGGAGGGCAGGCAGGUCCCGUCCCCCCCCCCCCCGAACUGGGCUGGUGUCAGCUGCCACGACUGUUACACCUGCCUGCCUUAAAAAGGGACUGUUAAUGCUAGUGUGAAUAAACGGCAUCGCUGUGGCAGCAGGGGACACGGCUCGGGGUGUGCCCACGGGGUUUUCUAGGUGGGAAAACUUGAGUUGAUGAAGUUUGUCUAAUUGAACAAUUUUUGAACUUCUGACACUGCGUUUUGUAACAUCUUCUCCCCUUGGAAGCUAAAAGUAGCUGGGGGGGGUUGAACAGGGCCAUCCUCGUCCCCUCCUACACGGCUGGGUACAGGGGACAGUGGCCAGAAGGGAUGGUGAUGGGCUUGGGACGGUGCUGGCCUUCAGCGACAGGAAUUCAGGGUGUCUUGGCAAAUCUCCCGUGGGGCAGGUGAGCAGCUGCAGUUUGCAGCAGUGCGUUUCGGCCCUUUGCAAGCCAGGUUUUGCAUUUCUCCCCAGCGCAAGGAGGAGGUUAAUACAAUUUUGAAAAGGCAUCAAAAAAGUUCUUCAGGUGCUCAAGAGGCAUCAGCAACCCAAGUGCUGCCACGCAUCGGUCCGUGUUGGGCUUGAUGAUCUUAAAGGUCUUUUCCAACCCCAGUGACUGUGAUUCUGAGUCCCUCUAAGCAUGUAUUGGUGAUGCAGGCGGCUACAGAGGGGAGAAUGGGCCAAGAAGGGCAUUUACUUUUUUUUUAAAAAAGGAUGUUUUUAUCAUAUACAACAAGAAAUAAAAAACCCAAAUAUUUUUUCGUUGCUGUGAACAAAGUACCAUGUGCUUUGUGUUUUCCGUGAAUUAGCGGUGCUUACUCAGCCAACAUGCUCUGGGUAGAGACACACUGGCUCAGACUCCUGCAGGGGUGAGGUGGUGGAGUUUUGUUUUAUUAUAUAAAAGGGGUUUUAGAAAGAAAAAAAAUCUUUCUGUGUUCCAACACUCUCUGAGAUUCACAUCAUUUUUCUACAAAAUAUAUAUAUUUUUUAUAAAUUAAAUCUAUAAAACAACAUUUGCAUUAAAUAAAAACUAAUACCAUCACAGUAUUUUUACAUUUCAAAAUGUAACGCUUCAAAUGUUCACAGAAAAAUAAAUUUUUCAAGAAGGUGCAAAUGAAGUACCAGUCAAGCCCAAAGCUUUCUGUUGUCUGAUUUUAGAGAAAUUAUUAUUAAAAAAAAAAUAAAUCCACAUUUUAGCCUUUCUUAAAAGUCUUUCAGAGCCUGUUGGGUGGCACCUUUGACUGUGGCUUAUAGUGAGUUCCCAUUACAGUAAACUUCAGAAAGGUUUGGUUCCUCAGGCUGUGUUUUAAUUACGCUGCUGUUAAUCAAAAGUAGGUGUGAUGGCACAGGGUCAGUUAUUAGUGAAAGGGCAAUAAUUUGCCCCAUCUCUGUUGAAACGAGGACCCGAAAGCCUCGGUGGAUGUCUAGCCUGGAUAAAGCCCCUGGAAGCACAGCCUCGUGUUAAAGCUUAUCCGAGGCAGCGAUACAGCCUGAAACCGUGUGGCUUUUGAGCCAGAAAUGGGAACCGAUGGCAGAAAAAUAGUGUCUGGAUGCUUCAGUGACUUUGUGAUUUGGGGGUGUGUCGUUUGCUACACCCCAGAAUGGAGGCUUGGGUAGUUAUUGAAGCAGCAAGUCCUUUGGGGCCACCUCACGCUCCUCGCUCUGUGGUCACCAUGGCUUGAGGCAAGCUCUGGGCGCUCCAUAGAUCCACUGCUUGAUUGUCUGUUGUUUCAGAAAUGUAUAAUACCAUGUCUAUAAUACUAAUUUUUAUGAUCAAAUUCUUUCUGCAUAGCAAGACUCCAGAAUUUUUGCCGCCUUUUGCUGCAGCCAGGAUGCGUGACCAGUACACGGCCACUUAAUGUCCCCACCUGUGACAAUGGGACACAGCAUCGCCUCUCACCAUGGGUCCGUGUCCUCCUCCUACACCAAAGCUACCUCCUCCUGGCUGCCCCACUUAGGUACAGUGCCUGUGGGAAUUACACAGUGUUACUUAUGUUCAGAGAAAAUUUGCAGCCAAAGUUUUAAUGUAUUUUUGGUCAGGUUUUGUUUUUUGGGGGGAGUUCUUUGUUUUUCUCCAGCCUGCACUGAAAUCAGCAGAAGCUCAUCUAAGUCAUUGCUCUCGGUGUCCUGGGGGAAAAAAAUUGAGCCAAACCCACAAAUCCAGUGAACACUUGAAGUCCUGGCAACUGCUGGAGGAAGGCCAGUGUUAGCAGUCCAUGGCGUCCUCCCUGAGCUCAUCUCUGGAGUGCUUCCUCACGUAACUGAGGUGGUGGAGCUGAAUGCUGUCUUGCAGAUCCUGCCUGGAAAGGCGUCUCCUGAACUCAUCUGUAGUAAAGUAGUAAAUGACUGGGUCCACGCAGGAGUUCAGGCUGGCAAGGCACAAAGCUACAACAUGAAACACUGAGAUCACCUUCUGGACACACCCGUUUUUAAUCUUUUUGGUUUUGACAAAGAAAUCCAGUGGAAAGCUGAUAUGAUAAGGUGCAAAGCAAAUCAGAAAUACCAGAGCGCAGGUGAGAAUCAUCUUUAAAGCCUUUUUUUUCUCCCCAAGGUCAUGUGAAGCAGAAUUUUUUUCUUUUAGUGAUAAGAUAGUCUUCCACGAGCAGUAUACGAUGAUGAGUAGGGGUGUUACAAA
This is a long non-coding RNA of Falco peregrinus (peregrine falcon), 3436 nucleotides long. RefSeq lists it as uncharacterized. The record is from RefSeq and is a predicted model, not a curated record. NCBI's taxonomy places the organism in Eukaryota, Metazoa, Chordata, Aves, Falconiformes, Falconidae. The transcript has 2 exons.